ACUGCGGAUGAUCAUGUAAUGAAUUCGAAUGGCAAAGUUGUCGCUGGCUUUCUGAGCAUGUGCACACUUUGUUUAUUCAUUCCACACACCUCUGUGCACCAUUUCAUAGACUGGCAUACGGUGGGGUUACCCUUGGUGACUCUGCUAGCCUUCCUAUGUAUUUUAAUCACAAACAUUAGUAUGAGAAUGUCUAUUGCGUUUAAUCGCAUUGAAAUACAACUUUCAGCAACGGAUCUCUUGGCUCUCGCAUCGAUGAAGAACGCAGCGAAAUGCGAUAAGUAAUGUGAAUUGCAGAAUUCAGUGAAUCAUCGAAUCUUUGAACGCACCUUGCGCUCCUUGGUAUUCCGAGGAGCAUGCCUGUUUGAGUGUCAUGUAUUCCUCAAUCAUUCCGGUUUUUCUGGGAUAGAUUGGAUUUGGAGGCUGCUGUUUCAUUCGGAUCAGCUCUUCUUAAAUGCAUUAGUGUGAAUGGUAUCAAACGUUCUCCAGUGUAAUAAUCAUUUGCGCUGCAGGGACUUUGGUCGACUACAAGUUCAUGCUUCGAAUCGUCUGUCACAGACAAUAUGUUUUGCAUUUGACCUCAAAUCAGGUAGGAUUACCCGCUGAACUUAAGCAUAUCAAUAAGCGGAGGAAAAGAAACUAACAAGGAUUCCCCUAGUAACUGCGAGUGAAGCGGGAAAAGCUCAAAUUUAAAAUCUGGCGGUCUUUGGCUGUCCGAGUUGUAAUCUAGAGAAGCGUCUUCCGCGCUGGACCGUGUAUAAGUUCUUUGGAAUAAGACAUCAUUGAGGGUGAGAAUCCCGUCUUUGACACGGACUACCAGUGCUUUGUGAUGCGCUCUCAAGAGUCGAGUUGUUUGGGAAUGCAGCUCAAAUGGGUGGUAAAUUCCAUCUAAAGCUAAUAUUGGCGAGAGACCGAUAGCGACAGAC
This 923-nucleotide ribosomal RNA is filed under the name Hyphoderma setigerum. RNAcentral describes it as "eukaryotic LSU rRNA". The stretch from base 573 to 923 matches the Rfam family "Eukaryotic large subunit ribosomal RNA", at positions 1 to 348 of the family's 3401-position model. The record is from RNAcentral. Lineage: Eukaryota; Fungi; Basidiomycota; Agaricomycetes; Polyporales; Hyphodermataceae.